UGUGUUGUAACUCAGUGAUAGAGCGCUUGUCUAGAACAUGUGAGGAACUGGGUUCAAUCCUCAGCACCACAU
Molecule: non-coding RNA, 72 nt
Organism: Ictidomys tridecemlineatus (thirteen-lined ground squirrel)
Lineage: Eukaryota; Metazoa; Chordata; Mammalia; Rodentia; Sciuridae
Source: Rfam